Molecule: ribosomal RNA, 467 nt
Filed under: uncultured bacterium
Lineage: Bacteria
Description: partial 16S ribosomal RNA
Rfam family: Bacterial small subunit ribosomal RNA
Source: RNAcentral
GACGAACGCUGGCGGCGUGCUUAACACAUGCAAGUCGAACGGAAAGGCCCUGCUUUUGUGGGGUGCUCGAGUGGCGAACGGGUGAGUAACACGUGAGUAACCUGCCCUUGACUUUGGGAUAACUUCAGGAAACUGGGGCUAAUACCGGAUAGGAGCUCCUGCUGCAUGGUGGGGGUUGGAAAGUUUCGGCGGUUGGGGAUGGACUCGCGGCUUAUCAGCUUGUUGGUGGGGUAGUGGCUUACCAAGGCUUUGACGGGUAGCCGGCCUGAGGGGGUGACCGGCCCAAUGGGGUCGGGGGUGCGCCCCCGCCCCCUACGGGGGGCACCAGGGGGGAAUUUUCCCAAAGGGGCGGAACCCUGUUCCACAAACCCCGGGGGGGGGAAGGGGGCCUUCGGUUUGUAACCCGCUUUCCCCUGGGAAGAAGCGGGGGUGGCGGUAAGGGGAAAAGAAGCACCGGCUAACUACGU